CGAAACGAAGUGAUCUAUCCAUGAGCAAGUUGAAGCUAGUGUAAGAACUAGUGGAGGACUGAACCCAUAGGCGUUGAAAAGCCCCGGGAUGACUUGUGGAUAGGGGUGAAAGGCCAAUCAAACUUCGUGAUAGCUGGUUCUCUCCGAAAUAUAUUUAGGUAUAGCGUUGUGUCGUAAUAUAAGGGGGUAGAGCACUGAAUGGGCUAGGGCAUACACCAAUGUACCAAACCCUAUCAAACUCCGAAUACCUUAUAUGUAAUCACAGCAGUCAGGCGGCGAGUGAUAAAAUCCGUCGUCAAGAGGGAAACAACCCAGACUACCAGCUAAGGUCCCUAAAUCUUACUUAAGUGGAAAACGAUGUGAAGUUACUUAAACAACCAGGAGGUUGGCUUAGAAGCAGCCAUCCUUUAAAGAAAGCGUAAUAGCUCACUGGUCUAGUGAUUUUGCGCGGAAAAUAUAACGGGGCUAAAGUAAGUACCGAAGCUGUAGACUUGCACACAACUUAGAUUAUUUAAGUUUAGAAUAUGAGAAACUAAGUUAUAUGUUUAGUUAUAUUUUUACUGAUUUUUAUAGAGUAAAGAUAGAAAUAAAACUUAGUAAAAUCAGUAAAAAUAUUCUUAGACUAAAGUUAAGUAGUUUAAGUUGUGUGCAAGUGGUAGGAGAGCGUUCUAUUUGCGUCGAAGGUAUACCGGUAAGGAGUGCUGGAGCGAAUAGAAGUGAGCAUGCA
Molecule: ribosomal RNA, 727 nt
Filed under: Campylobacter jejuni
Lineage: Bacteria; Pseudomonadati; Campylobacterota; Epsilonproteobacteria; Campylobacterales; Campylobacteraceae
Description: partial 23S ribosomal RNA
Rfam family: Bacterial large subunit ribosomal RNA
Source: RNAcentral